This 224-nucleotide ribosomal RNA is filed under the name uncultured bacterium. RNAcentral's name for it is "partial 16S ribosomal RNA". It matches the Rfam family "Bacterial small subunit ribosomal RNA", at positions 32 to 247 of the family's 1533-position model. The record is from RNAcentral.
AAUCAACGCUGGCGGCGUGCCUAACACAUGCAAGUCGAACGCGAAAGCUCCUUCGGGGGUGAGUAGAGUGGCGUCCGGGUGAGUAACGCGUGGGUAAGUCUGCCCUCGGGUGGGGAAGUAACCAGUCGAAAGAUUGGCUAAUACCGCAUAAUGCAGCGGCUCGACAUCGAGACAGUUGUUAAAGCAGCAAUGCGCCUGAGGAGGAGCCUGCGUCUGAUUAGCNG